RNAcentral lists this ribosomal RNA (255 nucleotides) under uncultured bacterium. RNAcentral's name for it is "partial 16S ribosomal RNA". It matches the Rfam family "Bacterial small subunit ribosomal RNA", at positions 526 to 779 of the family's 1533-position model. The record is from RNAcentral.
CGGAGGGUGCAAGCGUUAUCCGGAAUCACUGGGUUUAAAGGGUGCGUAGGCGGCUUGGUAAGUCAGGGGUGAAAGCUUCCCGCUCAACGGGAGAACUGCCCCUUGAUACUGUCAGGCUCGAAUUGGGUUGAGGCCGGCGGAAUGUGGCAUGUAGCGGUGAAAUGCUUAGAUAUGCCAUAGAACACCGAUUGCGAAGGCAGCCGGCCAAGCCUUGAUUGACGCUGAGGCACGAAAGCGUGGGGAGCGAACAGGAUU